GAUGAACGCUGGCGGCGUGCCUAAUACAUGCAAGUCGAGCGAACGGACGAGAAGCUUGCUUCUCUGAUGUUAGCGGCGGACGGGUGAGUAACACGUGGAUAACCUACCUAUAAGACUGGGAUAACUUCGGGAAACCGUAGCUAAUACCGGAUAAUAUUUUGAACCGCAUGGUUCAAAAGUGAAAGACGGUCUUGCUGUCACUUAUAGAUGGAUCCGCGCUGCAUUAGCUAGUUGGUAAGGUAACGGCUUACCAAGGCAACGAUGCAUAGCCGACCUGAGAGGGUGAUCGGCCACACUGGAACUGAGACACGGUCCAGACUCCUACGGGAGGCAGCAGUAGGGAAUCUUCCGCAAUGGGCGAAAGCCUGACGGAGCAACGCCGCGUGAGUGAUGAAGGUCUUCGGAUCGUAAAACUCUGUUAUUAGGGAAGAACAUAUGUGUAAGUAACUGUGCACAUCUUGACGGUACCGAAGCAGAAAGCCACGGCUAACUACGU
RNAcentral lists this ribosomal RNA (496 nucleotides) under uncultured bacterium. RNAcentral describes it as "partial 16S ribosomal RNA". It matches the Rfam family "Bacterial small subunit ribosomal RNA", at positions 28 to 506 of the family's 1533-position model. The record is from RNAcentral.